RNAcentral lists this ribosomal RNA (640 nucleotides) under Fictibacillus sp. RNAcentral's name for it is "bacterial SSU rRNA". It matches the Rfam family "Bacterial small subunit ribosomal RNA", at positions 69 to 693 of the family's 1533-position model. Lineage: Bacteria; Bacillati; Bacillota; Bacilli; Caryophanales; Fictibacillaceae. The record is from RNAcentral.
AUGAAGAGGAGCUUGCUCCUCUGAUUUAGCGGCGGACGGGUGAGUAACACGUGGGUAAUCUGCCUGUAAGACGGGGAUAACUCCGGGAAACCGGGGCUAAUACCGGAUAAUAAGAAGAAACGCAUGUUUCUUUUUUGAAAGUCGGUUUCGGCUGACACUUACAGAUGAGCCCGCGGCGCAUUAGCUAGUUGGUGAGGUAACGGCUCACCAAGGCGACGAUGCGUAGCCGACCUGAGAGGGUGAUCGGCCACACUGGGACUGAGACACGGCCCAGACUCCUACGGGAGGCAGCAGUAGGGAAUCUUCGGCAAUGGGCGAAAGCCUGACCGAGCAACGCCGCGUGAGCGAUGAAGGCCUUCGGGUCGUAAAGCUCUGUUGUUAGAGAAGAACAAGUACGAGAGUAACUGCUCGUACCUUGACGGUACCUAACCAGAAAGCCACGGCUAACUACGUGCCAGCAGCCGCGGUAAUACGUAGGUGGCAAGCGUUAUCCGGAAUUAUUGGGCGUAAAGCGCGCGCAGGCGGUCUCUUAAGUCUGAUGUGAAAGCCCACGGCUCAACCGUGGAGGGUCAUUGGAAACUGGGAGACUUGAGUGCAGGAGAGAAAAGUGGAAUUCCACGUGUAGCGGUGAAAUGCGUAG